GUCUACAGCCAUGCCCCCAUACCCAAUCUCAAAAGCUAAGCAGGGUGAGGCCUGGUUAGCACUGGGAUUGAGAGACUGCCUGGGAAUACUGGGUGCUGUAGGCU
Molecule: ribosomal RNA, 104 nt
Filed under: Saimiri boliviensis boliviensis (Bolivian squirrel monkey)
Lineage: Eukaryota; Metazoa; Chordata; Mammalia; Primates; Cebidae
Source: RNAcentral